AUAAUGCAAGUCGAGCGGACAGAUGGGAGCUUGCUCCCUGAUGUUAGCGGCGGACGGGUGAGUAACACGUGGGUAACCUGCCUGUAAGACUGGGAUAACUCCGGGAAACCGGGGCUAAUACCGGAUGGUUGUUUGAACCGCAUGGUUCAGACAUAAAAGGUGGCUUCGGCUACCACUUACAGAUGGACCCGCGGCGCAUUAGCUAGUUGGUGAGGUAACGGCUCACCAAGGCAACGAUGCGUAGCCGACCUGAGAGGGUGAUCGGCCACACUGGGACUGAGACACGGCCCAGACUCCUACGGGAGGCAGCAGUAGGGAAUCUUCCGCAAUGGACGAAAGUCUGACGGAGCAACGCCGCGUGAGUGAUGAAGGUUUUCGGAUCGUAAAGCUCUGUUGUUAGGGAAGAACAAGUGCCGUUCAAAUAGGGCGGCACCUUGACGGUACCUAACCAGAAAGCCACGGCUAACUACGUGCCAGCAGCCGCGGUAAUACGUAGGUGGCAAGCGUUGUCCGGAAUUAUUGGGCGUAAGGGCUCGCAGGCGGUUUCUUAAGUCUGAUGUGAAAGCCCCCGGCUCAACCGGGGAGGGUCAUUGGAAACUGGGGAACUUGAGUGCAGAAGAGGAGAGUGGAAUUCCACGUGUAGCGGUGAAAUGCGUAGAGAUGUG
This 665-nucleotide ribosomal RNA is filed under the name Bacillus velezensis. RNAcentral describes it as "bacterial SSU rRNA". It matches the Rfam family "Bacterial small subunit ribosomal RNA", at positions 51 to 700 of the family's 1533-position model. Lineage: Bacteria; Bacillati; Bacillota; Bacilli; Caryophanales; Bacillaceae. The record is from RNAcentral.